Molecule: long non-coding RNA, 329 nt
Filed under: Rattus norvegicus (Norway rat)
Lineage: Eukaryota; Metazoa; Chordata; Mammalia; Rodentia; Muridae
Description: long non-coding RNA NONRATT013516
Source: RNAcentral
CAGAGAGAGCCCUCGUCUAGGCUCCGGUCCUGCAGUGUUACCGACGCGAGUUGCUGAACAAGCUCACCUUCCACCGCCAUCAGUGGCCUAUGUACAUACCACGCCGGGCCUACCUUCAGGCUGGGAAGAAAGAAAAGAUGCUAAGGGACGCACAUACUAUGUCAAUCAUAACAAUCGAACCACAACUUGGACUCGACCAAUCAUGCAGCUUGCAGAAGACGGUGCCUCUGGAUCAGCCACAAACAGUAACAACCACCUAGUCGAACCCCAGAUCCGCCGGCCUCGUAGCCUCAGCUCGCCAACAGUAACCUUAUCUGCCCCACUGGAGG